UGGGGAAUAUUGCACAAUGGAGGGAACUCUGACGCAGCGACGCCGCGUGAACGAAGAAGGCUUUCGAGUCGUAAAGUUCUUUUAUAUGGGAAGAUAAUGAUGGUACCAUAAGAAAAAGCACCGGCUACCUACGUGCCAGCAGCCGCGGUAAUACGAAGGCGGCUAGCGCUGUCCGGAAUCACUGUGCGUAAGGGGUUCGCAGGCGGAAAUGCAAGUCAGGUGUAAAGGGCAGUAGCUGAACUACUGUAAGCAUUUGAAACUGCAUAUCUUGAGAAGAGUAGAGGUAAAUGGAAUUUUUAGUGUAUCGGUGAAAUGCGUAGAUAUUAGAAAGAAUACCGGUGGCGAAGGCGACUUACUGGGCUCAUUCUGACGCUGAGGAACGAAAGCGUGGGUAGCAAACAGG
Molecule: ribosomal RNA, 403 nt
Filed under: Bacteroidota bacterium
Lineage: Bacteria; Pseudomonadati; Bacteroidota
Description: Bacteroidetes bacterium partial 16S ribosomal RNA
Rfam family: Bacterial small subunit ribosomal RNA
Source: RNAcentral